UACAGAGGGUGCGAGCGUUAAUCGGGGUUACUGGGCGUAAAGGGCGCGUAGGCGGUUAGUUAAGAUUGAUGUGAAAUCCCCGGGCUCAACCCGGGAACUGCGUCCGAUACUGGCAGGCUUGAAUCCGGGAGAGGGAUGCGGAAUUCCAGGUGUAGCGGUGAAAUGCGUAGAUAUCUGGAGGAACACCGGUGGCGAAGGCGGCAUCCUGGACCGGCAUUGACGCUGAGGCGCGAAAGCCAGGGGAGCAAACGGG
RNAcentral lists this ribosomal RNA (253 nucleotides) under uncultured bacterium. RNAcentral describes it as "partial 16S ribosomal RNA". It matches the Rfam family "Bacterial small subunit ribosomal RNA", at positions 524 to 776 of the family's 1533-position model. The record is from RNAcentral.